GAGUUUGAUCAUGGCUCAGGAUGAACGCUAGCGGCAGGCUUAAUACAUGCAAGUCGAACGGUAGAGUCCCUUCGGGGGCUUGAGAGUGGCGAACGGGUGAGUAACGCGUACGCAAUCUGCCUCUAACUGGAGAAUAGCCCCGGGAAACCGGGAUUAAUACUCCAUAAUAUUUCGGUAAGGCAUCUUACUGAAAUUAAAGCCUUGGCGGUUAGAGAUGAGCGUGCGUCCCAUUAGUUAGUUGGUAGGGUAACGGCCUACCAAGACAGCGAUGGGUAGGGGGCGUGAGAGCGUGGCCCCCCACACUGGAACUGAGACACGGUCCAGACUCCUACGGGAGGCAGCAGUAAGGAAUAUUGGGCAAUGGGCGAAAGCCUGACCCAGCCAUGCCGCGUGCAGGAUGAAGGCCCUCUGGGUCGUAAACUGCUUUUCUUUGGGAAGAAAAACCCUUAUUUAUAAGGGACUGACGGUACCAGAGGAAUAAGCACCGGCUAACUCCGUGCCAGCAGCCGCGGUAAUACGGAGGGUGCAAGCGUUAUCCGGAAUCACUGGGUUUAAAGGGUGCGCAGGCGGAUUAACCAGUCAGAGGUGAAAGCCCCGAGCUUAACUUGGGAACUGCCUUUGAUACUGUUAAUCUUGAAUUUAGUUGAGGUGGGCGGAAUGUGACGUGUAGCGGUGAAAUGCUUAGAUAUGUCACAGAACACCGAUUGCGAAGGCAGCUCACUAAACUAAUAUUGACGCUCAGGCACGAAAGCGUGGGUAG
This 760-nucleotide ribosomal RNA is filed under the name uncultured Crenotalea sp. RNAcentral's name for it is "bacterial SSU rRNA". It matches the Rfam family "Bacterial small subunit ribosomal RNA", at positions 9 to 768 of the family's 1533-position model. Lineage: Bacteria; Pseudomonadati; Bacteroidota; Chitinophagia; Chitinophagales; Chitinophagaceae. The record is from RNAcentral.